CCUACGGGUGGCUGCAGUGGGGAAUUUUGCGCAAUGGGCGAAAGCCUGACGCAGCAACGCCGCGUGUGUGAUGAAGGUCUUCGGAUUGUAAAGCACUUUCGACCGGGACGAACACCCUGAAGCUAACAUCUUCAGGCCUGACGGUACCGGGAGAAGAAGCACCGGCUAACUCUGUGCCAGCAGCCGCGGUAAUACAGAGGGUGCAAGCGUUGUUCGGAAUUAUUGGGCGUAAAGCGCGUGUAGGCGGCUUUGCAAGUCGGGUGUGAAAGCCCUCA
RNAcentral lists this ribosomal RNA (275 nucleotides) under uncultured bacterium. RNAcentral's name for it is "partial 16S ribosomal RNA". It matches the Rfam family "Bacterial small subunit ribosomal RNA", at positions 338 to 606 of the family's 1533-position model. The record is from RNAcentral.